RNAcentral lists this unclassified non-coding RNA (208 nucleotides) under Hevea brasiliensis (rubber tree). The record is from RNAcentral. Lineage: Eukaryota; Viridiplantae; Streptophyta; Magnoliopsida; Malpighiales; Euphorbiaceae.
GAAACUCUUAUGAUGGCGGCGUGUAUGGCUGAGGGAAAAACUGUAAUCUCAAAUGCAGCUCAAGAACCAGAGAUUAUUGACCUUGCUGGCUUUCUAACAAAUUGCGGAGCAGUUGUGGAAGGAGCAGGAACAGACACACUCUAUAUUACUGGAAGGAGAAAGUUGUAUGGUUGCGAGUAUAGCAUAAUGCCAGACAGGAUUGAAGUCG